CGGUAACAGGAAGCAGCUUGCUGCUUUGCUGACGAGUGGCGGACGGGUGAGUAAUGUCUGGGAAACUGCCUGAUGGAGGGGGAUAACUACUGGAAACGGUGGCUAAUACCGCAUAACGUCGCAAGACCAAAGAGGGGGACCUUCGGGCCUCUUGCCAUCAGAUGUGCCCAGAUGGGAUUAGCUUGUUGGUGAGGUAACGGCUCACCAAGGCGACGAUCCCUAGCUGGUCUGAGAGGAUGACCAGCCACACUGGAACUGAGACACGGUCCAGACUCCUACGGGAGGCAGCAGUGGGGAAUAUUGCACAAUGGGCGCAAGCCUGAUGCAGCCAUGCCGCGUGUAUGAAGAAGGCCUUCGGGUUGUAAAGUACUUUCAGCGGGGAGG
RNAcentral lists this ribosomal RNA (384 nucleotides) under Salmonella enterica subsp. enterica serovar Derby. RNAcentral's name for it is "bacterial SSU rRNA". It matches the Rfam family "Bacterial small subunit ribosomal RNA", at positions 67 to 447 of the family's 1533-position model. RNAcentral also lists the same sequence under 7 other names. The record is from RNAcentral. Lineage: Bacteria; Pseudomonadati; Pseudomonadota; Gammaproteobacteria; Enterobacterales; Enterobacteriaceae.